AAGCUUCAGUCUCCUAUCUCAAGAAUGCAGAUGGUAACAUCCUACUCAUCUUUAGUCUCAACUCAAAUGUCACCUGUUUAAAGAGCUU
Molecule: long non-coding RNA, 88 nt
Filed under: Mustela putorius furo (domestic ferret)
Lineage: Eukaryota; Metazoa; Chordata; Mammalia; Carnivora; Mustelidae
Description: lncRNA (ENSMPUG00000030604.1)
Source: RNAcentral